GACGAAUGCUGGCGGCGUGCCUAAUACAUGCAAGUCGAACGAGAGCGACCGGUGCUUGCACUGGUCAAUCUAGUGGCGAACGGGUGAGUAACACGUGGGUAACCUGCCCAUCAGAGGGGGAUAACAUCCGGAAACGGAUGCUAAAACCGCAUAGGUCUUCGAGCCGCAUGGCUUGAAGAGGAAAAGAGGCGCAAGCUUCUGCUGAUGGAUGGACCCGCGGUGCAUUAGCUAGUUGGUGAGGUAACGGCUCACCAAGGCCGUGAUGCAUAGCCGACCUGAGAGGGUGAUCGGCCACAUUGGGACUGAGACACGGCCCAAACUCCUACGGGAGGCAGCAGUAGGGAAUCUUCCGCAAUGGACGCAAGUCUGACGGAGCAACGCCGCGUGAGUGAAGAAGGUUUUCGGAUCGUAAAACUCUGUUGUUAGAGAAGAACAAGUGCUAGAGUAACUGUUAGCGCCUUGACGGUAUCUAACCAGAAAGCCACGGCUAACUACGUG
RNAcentral lists this ribosomal RNA (498 nucleotides) under uncultured bacterium. RNAcentral's name for it is "partial 16S ribosomal RNA". It matches the Rfam family "Bacterial small subunit ribosomal RNA", at positions 28 to 507 of the family's 1533-position model. The record is from RNAcentral.